UUGAUUUCUAGUUUUUGUGGUUGGAAUCUUCUGCCUCCCCUUCCCUGUGACAGGGUGAUGCUGGUUUUAAUUGAGGUAUAGUUGACACACAAUGUUACGUUCAUUUCAAGGUACAGCACAGUGAUUGGAUGACUCUAUACCUUUUGGUAUGCUCACCACAUUGACACAGUUACUUUUUAAUGAAAGAGUAGGGUUCAUCUCCUUUGGAGCUCUUGUGAAGAGAACUUCCCCACACCCCUCAUGAUAAUUGCAGAGCUCCAGGGAUUCAGCACAACUGGGGAUAAAGCAGCCCGCCCUUCUCUGACCUGCUCCUGGGCUGUGACUUUGCUGUUACCCAGCCAACGUUCUGGCUUGUCUCUCAACACCACUGUGUUCUCCUGCCUCAAGCUGGUUGUGGGCACAGACGUGAACCCAGCACUUGCUUGGGGUCUGCCGUGACAGUGUAAAAGGAGGAUGACUUCAGCCCCAGGAAUACUUCCUGAUGACCACUGGCUUCUAUUUAUACAGCCCAAUGCCGGGCUUGCCCAGAGGAUGCCCACAUUACAUAUCUGUGAUGCCAUCAGCUUGUCGGUCAGCCGGAAUCUGGAAUCAUCCUCUGCUGUUCUCAAGUGCCCUCUAAUUACAACAUGUCGGAGCUGAUAACCAAACCUCAAAAGCUUCUCAAGUCUUACAGAUAGAUGUAGUCACAACCGUGUCCAAUGUCGCAAAUACGGUAAAGCCCGAUACUUGUGAGCCCUUGCUAGUUUCCAAAAAUUGUCUACAGACUCUCUCUGUCUCUCCCUUUUCUCUGUUAUCUCUUGCUCAGACUCUACAAGGGCCUCCUAACCAGGCUUGCUCUUUGUAUCUUUGGGCAUCUCUUAUCUAUUCUCUAGAGCAGGGGUUGGCAAAUUUUUUCCAUAGGGGGCCAGAUAGCAAAUACCUUAGGCUUUGCAGGCCACAAGUCUCUGUUUCAACUCCUGAAUUAUCCUAUUACAGCAUAGUAACAGCCUUAGAUGAUACGUAAAUGAAUGUGAGUGGCUUUGUCUCCAUAAAACUUUAUUUAUGGCUGCUGAAAUGUAAAUUUCAUAAGAUUUUCACGCAUCAGGAAAUAUUCUCCUUUUUCUUCUUCUUCUUCUUCUUCUUCUUUUUUUUUUUAAGCCAAUGUUAAAAUGUGAAAAGCAUUUUUCGCUUCUGGACAGCACGAAAAUAGGAGGCGGGCUGGAUUUGGUCCAGGGGCCACUGUUUGCCCAGCGUCCCUCUAGAAGGAUUUUUCAGAAAUGCUCUACAACGGCUGUUAUGGCGGCUGCUGCUGCGAAGCCAUCUGCUGAGUGUGUACAAGGCACCAGGCGCCGAGCUAAGCGCUCCCCUGGGAUGCACUUCAACCUCACACACAGUACCAGAGGCACUGUUUGCCUCCUUAUUGAGAAGCAUGGGGCUGCCCCAGGGCACCCAGCCAGAAAGAGAGAGAGCCAGAACUUGAAGCUGGUUGUCUGAGCCUACACCCUUCCCUGCCAUGCCACACUGCCUUGGGUAGGACCGCAGUGGUUUCCCGCUGCACCUGGAACAUACCCGUGGCCCUUGCCAUGGUUUCUGGAAGCUCAGGAUGUUUUCAUUCCCCCAUGCCUCCAGCCCUUCCCCCAGAGCUCGCUGCUCCCAGCCAUUUUGAUUGUCUUUUGGUUCCUUGCACUCUCCAAGUUUAUUUAUGGCUCAGACCUCUCACCUGCAAUGCCCCUCCCUCCUCUGUUGGCUAAGCAGAUGCCUGUGGGUCUGAGCUUAAGUGUCCCUGUCUCAGAAAGGCCUUCUGUAACCCCAGCGGGAUUCUGUCUCGCAGAGCCGCUGCAGUAUUUAUGACAACAGGCGACUGCACAAGUCUGUAUUGAUUUCAUGGCCUUCCCCCCCCCACUAGACUGUAACCCCAUGAUGCAGGAGGGGGGAAGCCAGCCUUGUUAAUAUACAGUAUGAGCUCAGGGCCUGACUCAGAGUAGGUGCUCUACAAAUAUCUGGAGAGUGAAUAAUAACCAAAUACACUUUGCCUCUUAAUCUUUUUGAUCAUCCCUAGGAAGUAGUUAUCACUUCCCCCCCUCCUCAGCCUUAUAAUUGAGGAAACCUGGAUUCAGAAACAUCAAGCAGCUUUUCCAAGGUGACAGAAACAAUGAUCAAAUUCAAGGUCUCCGAUGUCAUGUCCAGUGACUUUAUUGAUGUGCUGUGAACCUUCCCUUAUGGUUAUUCAUGUUUUUACAGAUAAAUUAAUUUUGGCAAAGGUGCCUAAAUUCAGAAGGUACAUAAUGGUACAGAGCAAAAAGUCCUUGUCCCACCUCUGCCUCCGAGCCACCUAGAGCCCUUUCUGAAAGCAACUGAUGGCUCCAGUUUGUUACAUACCCAUUUACAGGCCAUCUAUGCAUAUACAGGAAAACAUCUGCAGUUACCCUUCUUCCUCCCCAUGGUUCACAUAGUGGCAACAUAACAUACAUGCUGUUAUUACUUUCCUUCCUUAGCCUUGUGUUGUACAUUCUCAUCUCCUACGUAUUCCUACAAAUCACUUCCAUAUCCCUGCAGAUAGAGCUUUACUCUUAAAUUUAUUUUAGGCAGCAGAGUAGCUCAUCAUAUGCACAUUCCCCAAUUUAUUCAACCAUUCCCCGAUGACAGACACUUGGGCUACUUCCAAAUUUGUGCUGUUACAAACAAGGAAUAACUUUGUAAAUAUGUCAAUUCACACAUGUGCAAGUAUGUCUGAAGGAUGAAAUUCUAGAAGUGGAGCUGCUGAGAUAAAGGGCAUGCUACAUUUAUUUACUUAUUUUUGAAGUCUGUCUUCUCAGAAAGCAUGACGCAUCAUUUCCGAGACCGACACUGACCACGUCAAUUGGACCAUGGUAAUGCCAGGUCAAUGUCUAGAGAGAAGCUGGUAGAGGAGAGCUGCUUUCCUAGGGGGAUCUGAGAGUCAGGCAAGUGCAUUCGCCUCCCAGCCCCGACACUCUCCCUCCAUCCUGGCUCUUCAAUUAACUCGCGCUCCUCUGGAUUCAGUCUUUGAAAGACAGGCAGCGUCAUAUGGAAGAAUCAGCCUGGGAUCCAAGAUCGAACGUAUGUCAAAUAACGUACCCACUAUGCAGUCUAUGAGCUGUAUGACCUAGGGAAAGUUACUUAGCCCUUUGAGCCUCAGUGUCCUCACCUACAAAAUGGGGCUAAUAAUUCUACCCAACUCACAGGGUAGUUGUGAGGACUGGAUAAACUAACCCAUGCAGCAUAGUAAACACAGUACACGCAAGCUA
This is a long non-coding RNA of Herpailurus yagouaroundi (jaguarundi), 3245 nucleotides long. RefSeq lists it as uncharacterized. The transcript has 2 exons. Lineage: Eukaryota; Metazoa; Chordata; Mammalia; Carnivora; Felidae. The record is from RefSeq and is a predicted model, not a curated record.